This 467-nucleotide ribosomal RNA is filed under the name uncultured bacterium. RNAcentral describes it as "partial 16S ribosomal RNA". It matches the Rfam family "Bacterial small subunit ribosomal RNA", at positions 28 to 507 of the family's 1533-position model. The record is from RNAcentral.
GACGAACGCUGGCGGCGUGCUUAACACAUGCAAGUCGAACGGAAAGGCCCUGCUUUUGUGGGGGCUCGAGUGGCGAACGGGUGAGUAACACGUGAGUAACCUGCCCUUGACUUUGGGAUAACUUCAGGAAACUGGGGCUAAUACCGGAUAGGAGCUCCUGCUGCAUGGUGGGGGGUGGAAAGUUUCGGCGGUUGGGGAUGGACUCGCGGCUUAUCAGCUUGUUGGUGGGGUAGUGGCUUACCAAGGCUUUGACGGGUAGCCGGCCUGAGAGGGUGACCGGCCACAUUGGGACUGAGAUACGGCCCAGACUCCUACGGGAGGCAGCAGUGGGGAAUAUUGCACAAUGGGCGGAAGCCUGAUGCAGCAACGCCGCGUGCGGGAUGACGGCCUUCGGGUUGUAAACCGCUUUCGCCUGUGACGAAGCGUGAGUGACGGUAAUGGGUAAAGAAGCACCGGCUAACUACGUG